Chelonoidis abingdonii (Abingdon island giant tortoise) is the source of this 158-nucleotide non-coding RNA. Lineage: Eukaryota; Metazoa; Chordata; Testudines; Testudinidae. The record is from RefSeq and is a predicted model, not a curated record.
GGCUGGGGUGCGGCAUUCCUGCUCCCUUCGGGAGCUCUGCCUGGGCUGCACUCAGGAGAGGCCCUGCCCUGCUGCUUUCGCUGCCUGUGGGAUCUCGCCGGGUCCCCUGGAGAUCUUCAAACUGUACACAACAACCGCAGCGCAGCAGGCUCCUGUUG